Molecule: long non-coding RNA, 2424 nt
Filed under: Marmota monax (woodchuck)
Lineage: Eukaryota; Metazoa; Chordata; Mammalia; Rodentia; Sciuridae
Source: RNAcentral
GGGUAAAGAUAAUAAAGAGUGGAGAAUGGAAGAAAACAAGAGUGUGUGUGUACGAGUAUUUGUGUGUGUGUGUGUGUAAGCUACUCAAAAGACAUGGCGGGAAUAGUUACUGCUGUGGUUUGGAUGUUGAACAUCCCCCAAGGCCCAUAUAUGACAGCUUGGUCCCCAGGCACUGUUGGAAAGUGGUGGAUCUUUUGGGAGGUGAAAUCUAGAGGAAGGUUGUUAAUCCUGGGGGCUGCCCUUGGGAGGCAGUUCUCUGAGAGGGUUGUUAGGAAAGUUCAAGUCUGGCCCCCACUCAGUCCUUUCUCUACUGCUGGCUUGGGAUGUCAUCUCUUGCUUGCUCCCCAAGGACACUCCAGCCAUUGACAUCUGUCAUGCACCAUAAGAUGAGGCAAUUAAGGGGUGGUCCUCACCAAGCUGGCCCAAUGCCAUUUGGACUUUGAACACUGUGAGCUAAACAAACCUCCUUUUCUUUAUAAGUAUCCUAUCUCAGGUGUGUGGAUAUAGUAAUGAAAAGCUGACUCGUACAGUUUUGGAUUCACAACAGUCCUCUUUAAAGCUAGAAAAGUACCAAGUGAUUGGGCAGGUGGUCAGGUUGUGAGUAGAGAUGUUUCUGACCCCAUUAUCUUUCCAUCUGGGAAAUGUUUCAGUGGAGCAAGGCAAGGAAAAGACCAGCAAUAGCCCAUUUCGGCCCUUGGUUAGAUUUCCUAGGGAGUAAAAUCACACCUCCCAGUCCUACUUGCUAAUCACCAUGCCAUCAGAGUCUAUGUAACCCCAGCUCGAGGUAUUACCUAUGAGAUGCAAAAACUGAGUAUGCAGUUAGUGAAGAGAUGUCUGCAGUCUCAGUAAAACCAGGCCUUGUUAGGAAGAGCUGUGGAUUGGAAGGCAGGACACCUGGGUUUGAAUCAUAGCCACUGAAAACUUGGGUGCAUCACUUACUCUUACUGGACCUGAAUGUUCUUAUCUGUAAAACAGAGUUGUACUCAAUGUUUUCUAUCAUUACUUCCUGCUCUAACUUGCUAAGAUUCUCCUUGUCUUUUGAGCUUCAAGGUUUCAGAGCAUUCUAGAUCUUUACCAGAAAGUAUGAGUCUGGGGAAGUGGAAACCCAGAAGAGCCAGCUGCAUUAGUUUGCUAGGGCUGCUUAACAAACUACCACAGACUGGGUGGCUUACCAAAAGAAAACUUAUUGUAAAGCUUAUCACAGUUCUGGAGCCUCCAAGCCCAACAUCAAGGUGUCUCCGCUGGGCUGCAAGGGAAUCUGUUCCAGUCCUCUCCCCUCUCUUCAGAUUUGCUGGCAGUCUCUGGCCUUCCUUGGCUUAUAGAUGCAUCAUCUAAUCUUUGUUUUCAUCUCCAUGUGGGAUUCUCUAUGCAUCUGUCUCUAUGUUCCCAUUAAAAAAAAAAAAAAAUCAGGACACCAGGCCAGGUCGAGUGGCCCACACCCUGCAAUCCCAGCAACUCUCUCUCUCACACACACAUACACAAAGGGCACCAGUUUAGGGCCGCUCUAAUGGCCUUAUUUUAUUUAUUUAUUUUUAUUAAAGCAUUGUAGUUAUACAUUGUCAUUGGUUCAUUUUGACAAAAUCAUACAUGCAUGGGAUUUGGUUUCAGUCCCUACCCUCUGUUUCCUCCCCUCCUUUCUCUCCCUAGUCUUCUUAUCUACUGAUUUUCCUUUGCUCAUUUAUUUUUGAUUAGAUCUUCUAUGUACACAAUAAAGGUGAAAUUCCCUGUGGUAUAUUUAUAUAUGCACAUAACGUGAUUUUGUUAAAUUCAUUCCACAUUUCUUCCCCUUUCUCAUCCCUCCUCCUUCCCUUUUGAUCUCCUUCUACUCCACUAUUCUUCCCUGAUUAUGAUAUUCCAUUCCUUUCCACCUUCUUUCCUUUAUUUUGCUGUAGCUUCCACGUAUAAGAGGAAACAUUUCACCCUUGAUUUUCUGAGUCUGGUUUAUUUCACUUAGCAUGAUGUUCUUCAUUUCCAUCCAUUUACCAGCAAAUGCCAUAACUUCAUUCUUCUUUGUGGCUGAGUAAAACUGCAUUGUGUAUAUAUGCCACAUUUUCUUGACCCAUUCAUCUAUUGAUGGGCAUCAGGGCUGAUUUCAUAAUUUGGCUAUUGUGAAUUUGCUGCUAUAAAUAUUGAUGUGGCUGCAUCCCUAUAGUAUGCUGAUUUUAGAUCUUUUGGAUAUAUACCAAGGAGUGGGAUAGCUAGGUUUUAUAGUGGUUCCAUUCCUAGUUUUUUGAGGAAUCUCCACAUUGUUUUCCAGGGUGGUUGUACUAGUCUACAGUCCCACCAACAAUGUGCAGCUGCCUUUCCCCCACAUCCUGAAUAACAUUUAUUAUAUUUGUUUUCUGGGUUAAUUGCCAUUCUAAUUGAAAUGAGAGGAAAUCAGUGUAGUUUUGAUUUACAUUUAUCUAAUUUCUAAAGAUGUUG